AUGUGGUGCCAUUCUGGUAGAACGUCACACUACAUGAGACGUGAAAAAUUGCUUGUGCUGGUUGGAGUUUAUAUUGGUCCAAAUCUCCGAGGAUACUUUUCUUGUAACUGUUCUGUUAGCUCAUUCAGAUUUUGUGAUGUUAUUGAUCUGAGAUGCAUGGCUGAUGGCUGCACAAAACUUGAUGUUGCCCUUUCUGCUGUUUUUGAAACAAAAAUGCUUCAUGUCAUGCCAAUCUUUGAACUUACGUACCUUAUGUGCAGCUCAACUUCAUAUGAUAUUCAUGUAAAGACACCCUUGAAUUGCACUUCAUUUGUAAACAUAGUAUUCCCUUCCCUUCAUUCGGUUACAUCUAUAUAUGUAUGCACACUGCACACAUCGUUGUCAACCUCUUCUAAAAAAGGAAAAAAAACAUAUUUAAUUCAUACAAAACGUCAAUGGCUCGGAUUUUCUGUUUUUCAAAUAUAA
This 465-nucleotide ribosomal RNA is filed under the name Triticum aestivum (bread wheat). RNAcentral's name for it is "partial small subunit ribosomal RNA". Lineage: Eukaryota; Viridiplantae; Streptophyta; Magnoliopsida; Poales; Poaceae. The record is from RNAcentral.